RNAcentral lists this ribosomal RNA (281 nucleotides) under uncultured Thermovirga sp. RNAcentral's name for it is "partial 16S ribosomal RNA". It matches the Rfam family "Bacterial small subunit ribosomal RNA", at positions 1102 to 1382 of the family's 1533-position model. The record is from RNAcentral. Lineage: Bacteria; Thermotogati; Synergistota; Synergistia; Synergistales; Thermovirgaceae.
CCCCUAUUGCCAGUUGCUAACAGGAGAGCUGAGCACUCUGGCGAGACUGCCGCCGACAAGGCGGAGGAAGGUGGGGAUGACGUCAAGUCAUCAUGGCCUUUAUGCCCAGGGCUACACACGUGCUACAAUGGCCGGCACAGACGGCAGCUUAGUGGCGACACUUGGCAAAUCCUCUAAAGCCGGUCCCAGUUCGGAUUGCAGUCUGCAACUCGACUGCAUGAAGCCGGAAUCGCUAGUAAUCGCAGAUCAGCCAAGCUGCGGUGAAUACGUUCCCGGGCCUU